GACGAACGCUGGCGGCGUGCCUAAUACAUGCAAGUUGAGCGAUGAAGCUUGGUGCUUGCCCCAAUUUGAAGAGCAGCGAACGGGUGAGUAACGCGUGGGGAAUCUGCCUUUGAGCGGGGGACAACAUUUGGAAACGAAUGUUAAUACCGCAUAACAACUUUAAACAUAAGUUUUAAGUUUGAAAGAUGCAAUUGCAUCACUCAAAGAUGAUCCCGCGUUGUAUUAGCUAGUUGGUGAGGUAAAGGCUCACCAAGGCGAUGAUACAUAGCCGACCUGAGAGGGUGAUCGGCCACAUUGGGACUGAGACACGGCCCAAACUCCUACGGGAGGCAGCAGUAGGGAAUCUUCGGCAAUGGACGAAAGUCUGACCGAGCAACGCCGCGUGAGUGAAGAAGGUUUUCGGAUCGUAAAACUCUGUUGGUAGAGAAGAACGUUGGUGAGAGUGGAAAGCUCAUCAAGUGACGGUAACUACCCAGAAAGGGACGGCUAACUACGUG
This 497-nucleotide ribosomal RNA is filed under the name uncultured bacterium. RNAcentral's name for it is "partial 16S ribosomal RNA". It matches the Rfam family "Bacterial small subunit ribosomal RNA", at positions 28 to 507 of the family's 1533-position model. The record is from RNAcentral.